GACGAACGCUGGCGGCGUGCCUAACACAUGCAAGUCGAACGAAGCAUAGCAAUAUGCUUAGUGGCGGACGGGUGAGUAACGCGUGAACAAUCUGCCCUGUACAAAGGAAUAGCCUCGGGAAACCGGGAUUAAAACCGUAUGACACUUUAGUAUCGCAUGAUAAGAAAGUCAAAUCGAAUAGAGGUAUGGGAUGAGUUCGCGUCUGAUUAGCUGGUUGGCGGGGUAACGGCCCACCAAGGCGACGAUCAGUAGCCGGCCUGAGAGGGUGAACGGCCACACUGGAACUGAGACACGGUCCAGACUCCUACGGGAGGCAGCAGUGGGGAAUAUUGCACAAUGGAGGGAACUCUGAUGCAGCGACGCCGCGUGAGUGAAGAAGGUCUUCGGAUCGUAAAACUCUGUCCUUGGUGAAGAAAAGGACGGUAGCCAAGGAGGAAGCCCCGGCUAACUACGUGCCAGCAGCCGCGGUAAAACGUGCGUG
This 481-nucleotide ribosomal RNA is filed under the name uncultured bacterium. RNAcentral describes it as "bacterial SSU rRNA". It matches the Rfam family "Bacterial small subunit ribosomal RNA", at positions 28 to 533 of the family's 1533-position model. The record is from RNAcentral.